AGUGAACGCUGGCGGUAGGCCUAACACAUGCAAGUCGAACGGCAGCACAGUAAGAGCUUGCUCUUACGGGUGGCGAGUGGCGGGCGGGUGAGGAAUACAUCGGAAUCUACUUUUUCGUGGGGGAUAACGUAGGGAAACUUACGCUAAUACCGCAUACGACCUACGGGUGAAAGCAGGGGAUCUUCGGACCUUGCGCGAUUGAAUGAGCCGAUGUCGGAUUAGCUAGUUGGCGGGGUAAAGGCCCACCAAGGCGACGAUCCGUAGCUGGUCUGAGAGGAUGACCACCACCAUGGGACUUGAGACACGUCCCAGACCCCACGGGAAGGAGCCAUGGGGGAAUAUUGGACAAUGGGCGCAAGCCUGAUCCAGCCAUACCGCGUGGGUGAAGAAGGCCUUCGGGUUGUAAAGCCCUUUUGUUGGGAAAGAAAAGCAGCAGGUUAAUACCCCGCUGUUCUGACGGUACCCAAAGAAUAAGCACCGGCUAACUUCGUG
This 492-nucleotide ribosomal RNA is filed under the name uncultured bacterium. RNAcentral's name for it is "partial 16S ribosomal RNA". It matches the Rfam family "Bacterial small subunit ribosomal RNA", at positions 29 to 507 of the family's 1533-position model. The record is from RNAcentral.